Molecule: ribosomal RNA, 253 nt
Filed under: uncultured bacterium
Lineage: Bacteria
Description: partial 16S ribosomal RNA
Rfam family: Bacterial small subunit ribosomal RNA
Source: RNAcentral
UACAGAGGUCCCAAGCGUUGUUCGGAUUCACUGGGCGUAAAGGGUGCGUAGGCGGUCGGGUAAGUCUGAUGUGAAAUCUCACAGCUUAACUGUGAAACUGCAUUGGAUACUAUCCGGCUCGAGGAAUGGAGGGGAGACUGGAAUACUUGGUGUAGCAGUGAAAUGCGUAGAUAUCAAGUGGAACACCAGUGGCGAAGGCGAGUCUCUGGACAGUUCCUGACGCUGAGGCACGAAAGCCAGGGGAGCAAACGGG